Long non-coding RNA from Daphnia magna, 1168 nucleotides. RefSeq lists it as uncharacterized. NCBI's taxonomy places the organism in Eukaryota, Metazoa, Arthropoda, Branchiopoda, Diplostraca, Daphniidae. The record is from RefSeq and is a predicted model, not a curated record. The transcript is spliced from 4 exons.
CACGAGUUGCCCCCCGCACGAGAUUUCUGUGUUUAUAUAAGACACGGGGCGACUAGUACAAGUUUUCCCGUUAUCAUUUCGCUAUCACGGACGGCGCGUUUAUGCACGGAAAAAAGAAAAGGAAGGAACUAAAUUAAACCAGGCAGCACUAUGUCCAGGGCUCCUUUACCCGUGACGGACUUGCACGUGUCCUUGCGUUCUUUUCCCUUCCUUGACCACCAAUCAUAGAUUUGCAUAACACGUUCCUUUUCGACAAAUUUGGAUAAAAUAAAAACGAAAAAUGCAAAUAACAUGGCUUACGUGACUAAACCGAAUAGAUUAAAUCCAUCUAGAAACAACAAGAGAACAUCGUAUGUCUACUGAAAGAGGGGACAAAAAGAUCCCUGGAUUUCCCAGUGAGAGUUGAACUGCUCGUAUGCCCUGAAAAGAAAACCAUAUCGAGACACAAAGUUUCUGCAACGUAGUCCAGGACGACCUAAAUUCAUUGAAUCCCCAGUCAUUCACGACGUUUUUAGAGACAAAUAUCACUGCCUCGCCUCUUGUCUCUUUUGGACGAGGAAAGUGAAACUUGAAAUGCGUGUUGAUGACGAACAGAAGACGGAGAGAAAAGUCCCGGCUUUACCGGACUCGGGCGAUGCUUCCAUAUGUAGUUGCGAACUAAAUGCUAUCGAGUAACCUUGAAAGUAUUUUGGCAGUCAACCACCAAACCCCAAGAAACGUGGCGCCUGUGUAAGUUUACACUUAGUUUUAAUGUCAACCUGAUUCGUUACGUCAUCGUAAAAAUGGGAAUAUUUGGUUUGAGUCUUACACAGACGCGGAUUUCAUUUUUAUCUACGAAAAACGAUAGCAGAAACUCGAGAUUAUUUCAAACUUGUGGGAGACACAAAGAAAGCAGGUUCACAACAUGUCUUCAAGUGCGGUGCAAGAAGCCUCGUCUAGUCGUCUGGUACAAAAAGUAAUAUCUGCAUUCCAUGGACAAUAAGGGUGAAGAGUCUAACAAGAUUGCGAAAUGUUGGUGACCUUCAUGAUGUAAUCUCCACGCCUUGUUGUGAUUCUGUUUCGGUUAUCACGUUUUUUGUUGUUUUCUUACAAAGUAAUCUCAGAAUACCUCAACGUAUAACUAAAAGAUGGCGUUGUUUUGGCGCCAAAUAAAACAAUUGUAAAUUAA